GGGCUCGUAGCUCAGUGGCAGAGCGGUCGGCUCAUAACCGAUUGGUCGCAGGUUCGAACCCUGCCGAGCCCA
RNAcentral lists this transfer RNA (72 nucleotides) under Chloroflexi bacterium RBG_16_60_22. RNAcentral describes it as "tRNA-Met". It matches the Rfam family "tRNA". From Rfam's summary of the family: Transfer RNA (tRNA) molecules are approximately 80 nucleotides in length. Their secondary structure includes four short double-helical elements and three loops (D, anti-codon, and T loops). The record is from RNAcentral. RNAcentral also lists the same sequence under 5 other names. Lineage: Bacteria; Bacillati; Chloroflexota.